GUCAUGGGGAAACGCCGCUACCUCGCUUUCACUUGGUGGCCAUAGAUUUCGAUAUCCCAUGUGAUGUGACGUAGUGGUACCUUCCCUUGG
Molecule: microRNA precursor, 90 nt
Organism: Culex quinquefasciatus (southern house mosquito)
Lineage: Eukaryota; Metazoa; Arthropoda; Insecta; Diptera; Culicidae
Rfam family: mir-989 microRNA precursor family
Source: Rfam